UUUGUGCAACAGUUAUAUUGUAACCUGGUCAGGACCGGAAGGUAGCAGCCACAUCAAUCUCUAUCUGUGUGCACUUUUUU
This 80-nucleotide signal recognition particle RNA is filed under the name Bacillota bacterium. RNAcentral's name for it is "signal recognition particle sRNA small type". It matches the Rfam family "Bacterial small signal recognition particle RNA". Rfam says of the family: The signal recognition particle (SRP) is a universally conserved ribonucleoprotein involved in the co-translational targeting of proteins to membranes. Archaeal SRP consists of a 7S RNA and homologues of the eukaryotic SRP19 and SRP54 proteins. In most bacteria, the SRP consists of a 4.5S RNA and the Ffh protein (a homologue of the eukaryotic SRP54 protein). The record is from RNAcentral. Lineage: Bacteria; Bacillati; Bacillota.